Non-coding RNA from Pimephales promelas (fathead minnow), 384 nucleotides. The record is from the annotation of a RefSeq genome assembly. NCBI's taxonomy places the organism in Eukaryota, Metazoa, Chordata, Actinopteri, Cypriniformes, Leuciscidae.
AUGACGACACACACACUGAUCAUCUGCUCUCUGCUGCUGAUCCUCAACGAGUGUAGAGGACAGAUCACCGUCACUCAGAGUCCCUCAAUAACAGCAGAACAACCAGGAGGAACUGUCAAUAUCAAAUGUAGAACCAGCAGAGAUGUGUACAGGGAUGGUAAUGGAGAUUAUUUAGCCUGGUACUUACAGAAACCUGGAGAAGCUCCUAAACUCCUGAUUUAUCUCACAAAUCGCCGUCAGUCAGGAACUCCAUCUAGAUUCAGUGGCAGUGGAUCUAAGACUGAUUUCACUCUGAGCAUCAGUGGAGUCCAGACUGAAGAUGCUGGACAUUAUUACUGUCAGAGUUAUCACUACAUCAACAGUAAAUGGGUGUUCACACAGUGA